UCUCCGUUGGUGAACCAGCGGAGGGAUCAUUACAGAGUUUUCACAACUCCCAACCCUUGCGAACCGUACCCAUUCUGUUCUCGUUGCUUCCGGCGGGGGGGACGGUGGGGCCCGAAACGGCCUCCCCGCCCCGCCCGCCGGGAGCGGCGGGCCAUACGACCCUUUAUAUCUUAACCACCAGAAACCGUCUGAGAAAACAAACAAAAUAAUCAAAACUUUCAACAACGGAUCUCUUGGCUCUG
This 242-nucleotide unclassified non-coding RNA is filed under the name plant metagenome. RNAcentral's name for it is "partial contains small subunit ribosomal RNA, internal transcribed spacer 1, and 5.8S ribosomal RNA". The record is from RNAcentral.